CAGCAGCCGCGGGAAAACGAAGGGUGCAAGCGUUAAUCGGAAUUACUGGUCGUAAAGCGUACGCAGGCGGUUUGUUAAGUCAGAUGUGAAAUCCCCGAGCUUAACUCGGGAACUGCAUUUGAAACUGGCAGGCUAGAGUCUCGUAGAGGGGGGUAGAAUUCCAGGUGUAGCGGUGAAAUGCGUAGAGAUCUGAAGGAAUACCGGUGGCGAAGGCGGCCCCCUGGACGAAGACUGACGCUCAGGUACGAAAGCGCGGGGAGCAAACAGGAUUAGAUACCCCUGUAGUCCCUGUCUCUAUACA
Molecule: ribosomal RNA, 301 nt
Filed under: uncultured bacterium
Lineage: Bacteria
Description: partial 16S ribosomal RNA
Rfam family: Bacterial small subunit ribosomal RNA
Source: RNAcentral